CAGUCGCCGCGGUAAUACGUAGGGUGCAAGCGUUAAUCGGAAUUACUGGGCGUAAAGCGUGCGCAGGCGGUUAUAUAAGACAGAUGUGAAAUCCCCGGGCUCAACCUGGGAACUGCAUUUGUGACUGUAUAGCUAGAGUACGGCAGAGGGGGAUGGAAUUCCGCGUGUAGCAGUGAAAUGCGUAGAUAUGCGGAGGAACACCGAUGGCGAAGGCAAUCCCCUGGGCCUGUACUGACGCUCAUGCACGAAAGCGUGGGGAGCAAACAGGAUUAGAUACACCAGUAGUCCCUGUCUCUUAUAC
Molecule: ribosomal RNA, 301 nt
Filed under: uncultured bacterium
Lineage: Bacteria
Description: partial 16S ribosomal RNA
Rfam family: Bacterial small subunit ribosomal RNA
Source: RNAcentral